AACGAACGCUGGCGGCAUGCCUAACACAUGCAAGUCGAACGAUGCUUUCGGGCCUAGUGGCGCACGGGUGCGUAACGCGUGGGAAUCUGCCCUUGGGUUCGGAAUAACAGCGAGAAAUUGCUGCUAAUACCGGAUGAUGUCUUCGGACCAAAGAUUUAUCGCCCUGGGAUGAGCCCGCGUAGGAUUAGCUAGUUGGUAGGGUAAUGGCCUACCAAGGCGACGAUCCUUAGCUGGUCUGAGAGGAUGAUCAGCCACACUGGGACUGAGACACGGCCCAGACUCCUACGGGAGGCAGCAGUGGGGAAUAUUGGACAAUGGGCGAAAGCCUGAUCCAGCAAUGCCGCGUGAGUGAUGAAGGCCUUAGGGUUGUAAAGCUCUUUUACCCGGGAUGAUAAUGACAGUACCGGGAGAAUAAGCUCCGGCUAACUCCGUG
Molecule: ribosomal RNA, 433 nt
Filed under: uncultured bacterium
Lineage: Bacteria
Description: partial 16S ribosomal RNA
Rfam family: Bacterial small subunit ribosomal RNA
Source: RNAcentral